CCAAUAGCGUAUAUUAAAGUUGCUGCAGUUAAAAAGCUCGUAGUUGAAUUUCGGGACCAAUAUGUCGGUCGUGCCUCGGUACGUACUGGCAUCGUUGGUUUCUCCCUUCUGACGAACCAUGAUGUCAUUUAUUUGGUGUCGUGGGGAAUCAGGACUGUUACUUUGAAAAAAUUAGAGUGUUUAAAGCAGGCUCGCGCUUGAAUACAUUAGCAUGGAAUAAUGAAAUAGGACGUUUGAUUCUAUUUUGUUGGUUUCUAGGAUCGACGUAAUGAUUAAUAGGGAUAGUUUGGGGCAUUAGUAUUCAAUUGUCAGAGGUGAAAUUCUUGGAUUUAUUGAAGACUAACUACUGCGAAAGCAUUUGCCAAGGAUGUUUUCAUUAAUCAAGAACGAAAGUUAGGGGAUCGAAGACGAUCAGAUACCGUCGUAGUCUUAACCAUAAACUAUGCCGACUAGGGAUCGGAUGAUGUUGAUUUUUUAAUGACUCAUUCGGCGCCUUACG
This 499-nucleotide ribosomal RNA is filed under the name uncultured Glomeromycotina. Its description in RNAcentral is "partial small subunit ribosomal RNA". It matches the Rfam family "Eukaryotic small subunit ribosomal RNA", at positions 591 to 1092 of the family's 1831-position model. The record is from RNAcentral. Lineage: Eukaryota; Fungi; Glomeromycota.